This 469-nucleotide ribosomal RNA is filed under the name Penicillium chrysogenum. RNAcentral describes it as "eukaryotic LSU rRNA". The stretch from base 114 to 266 matches the Rfam family "5.8S ribosomal RNA". The record is from RNAcentral. Lineage: Eukaryota; Fungi; Ascomycota; Eurotiomycetes; Eurotiales; Aspergillaceae.
GGCCCGCCUUANCUGGUCGCCGGGGGGCUUACGCCCCCGGGCCCGCGCCCGCCGAAGACACCCUCGAACUCUGUCUGAAGAUUGUAGUCUGAGUGAAAAUAUAAAUUAUUUAAAACUUUCAACAACGGAUCUCUUGGUUCCGGCAUCGAUGAAGAACGCAGCGAAAUGCGAUACGUAAUGUGAAUUGCAAAUUCAGUGAAUCAUCGAGUCUUUGAACGCACAUUGCGCCCCCUGGUAUUCCGGGGGGCAUGCCUGUCCGAGCGUCAUUUCUGCCCUCAAGCACGGCUUGUGUGUUGGGCCCCGUCCUCCGAUCCCGGGGGACGGGCCCGAAAGGCAGCGGCGGCACCGCGUCCGGUCCUCGAGCGUAUGGGGCUUUGUCACCCGCUCUGUAGGCCCGGCCGGCGCUUGCCGAUCAACCCAAAUUUUUAUCCAGGUUGACCUCGGAUCAGGUAGGGAUACCCGCUGAACU